Molecule: small nuclear RNA, 104 nt
Organism: Cricetulus griseus (Chinese hamster)
Lineage: Eukaryota; Metazoa; Chordata; Mammalia; Rodentia; Cricetidae
Source: Ensembl
GUGCUCGCUUCAGCAGCACAUAUACUAAAAUUGGAACGAUACAGAGAUUAGCAUGGCCCCUGCACAAGGAUGACAGGCAAAUUCAUGAAGCGUUCCAUAUUUUA